GAUGAACGCUGGCGGCGUGCCUAAUACAUGCAAGUCGAGCGAACGGACGAGAAGCUUGCUUCUCUGAUGUUAGCGGCGGACGGGUGAGUAACACGUGGAUAACCUACCUAUAAGACUGGGAUAACUUCGGGAAACCGGAGCUAAUACCGGAUAAUAUUUUGAACCGCAUGGUUCAAAAGUGAAAGACGGUCUUGCUGUCACUUAUAGAUGGAUCCGCGCUGCAUUAGCUAGUUGGUAAGGUAACGGCUUACCAAGGCAACGAUGCAUAGCCGACCUGAGAGGGUGAUCGGCCACACUGGAACUGAGACACGGUCCAGACUCCUACGGGAGGCAGCAGUAGGGAAUCUUGCGAAAUGGGCGAAAGCCUGACGGGGCAACGCCGCGUGAGUGAUGAAGGUCUUCGGAUCGUAAAACUCUGUUAUUAGGGAAGAACAUAUGUGUAAGUAACUGUGCACAUCUUGACGGUACCUAAUCAGAAAGCCACGGCUAACUACGUG
This 497-nucleotide ribosomal RNA is filed under the name uncultured bacterium. Its description in RNAcentral is "partial 16S ribosomal RNA". It matches the Rfam family "Bacterial small subunit ribosomal RNA", at positions 28 to 507 of the family's 1533-position model. The record is from RNAcentral.